UACGUAGGGUGCGAGCGUUAAUCGGAAUUACUGGGCGUAAAGCGUGCGCAGGCGGUUCGUUAUGUCCGAUGUGAAAGCCCCGAGCUUAACUUGGGAAUGGCAUUGGAAACUGGCGGGCUGGAGUGCGGCAGAGGGGGGUGGAAUUCCACGUGUAGCAGUGAAAUGCGUAGAGAUGUGGAGGAACACCGAUGGCGAAGGCAGCCCCCUGGGCCGACACUGACGCUAAGGCACGAAAGCGUGGGGAGCAAACAGG
Molecule: ribosomal RNA, 253 nt
Filed under: uncultured bacterium
Lineage: Bacteria
Description: partial 16S ribosomal RNA
Rfam family: Bacterial small subunit ribosomal RNA
Source: RNAcentral